GAUGAACGCUGGCGGCGUGCCUAAUACAUGCAAGUCGAGCGAAUGGAUUAAGAGCUUGCUCUUAUGAAGUUAGCGGCGGACGGGUGAGUAACACGUGGGUAACCUGCCCAUAAGACUGGGAUAACUCCGGGAAACCGGGGCUAAUACCGGAUAACAUUUUGAACAGCAUGGUUCGAAAUUGAAAGGCGGCUUCGGCUGUCACUCAGGGAUGGACACGCGUCGCAUUAGCUAGUUGGUGAGGUAACGGCUCACCAAGGCAACGAUGCGUAGCCGACCUGAGAGGGGCAUCGGCCAAACUGGGACUGAGACACGGCCCAGACCCCUACGGGAGGCAGCAGUAGGGAAUCUUCCGCAAUGGACGAAAGUCUGACGGAGCAACGCCGCGUGAGUGAUGAAGGCUUUCGGGUCGUAAAACUCUGUUGUUAGGGAAGAACAAGUGCUAGUUGAAUAAGCUGGCACCUUGACGGUACCUAACCAGAAAGCCACGGCUAACUACGUGCCAGCCGCCGCGGUAA
RNAcentral lists this ribosomal RNA (515 nucleotides) under uncultured bacterium. Its description in RNAcentral is "partial 16S ribosomal RNA". It matches the Rfam family "Bacterial small subunit ribosomal RNA", at positions 28 to 523 of the family's 1533-position model. The record is from RNAcentral.